CUCUGAACGUGGAAAAGCUACAUGUUUGCUCAAAGGAAACUGUUCAUAUUCAAAAUUAGGUAUGCAGAUGUUGAUUCCAGAAAGUAUCAUAUGUGGUCAGGAACAUGAGACAGAGAAAGAACGAAAACCCAAAUAAGAAUUUACUAAGUGUUGCAAAAGAUAUGAGAGCCCUGCUGGUCAUAUGACCUGACCUUGCAACAAGAAGCUAGAGGGCAGCUACAGGAAUCUCUAACUUGCUAGCCAUUGAUGUUGGGCUGCUCAUUCAGAAAGACAUCCAGCUUUGAGGAUGAAGCUUCCAGGGAAAAGGGAUGUUCAUUUCUAUUUGCUGCUUUGCUGUCUCCCCUGAAGCUGCCCUCCUACCAAAUGUACAGUUUAGAAAUCAUUUACAUUUGUUAAGCUUCACUGCCUUUCUAUCUAAAGUUAUAAAAAGGAUUCAUCUCAUAGUUUCUCCAAGAACUUCCAUUAAAAAAAAAAACCUUUCUAUUUAAUUAUCUCAAUAUGUGUUCUUUUAAAUUUCAGACAGUACUCUAUGUGUGGAGGAAAUGAGUGGAAAGAUUUAAUAUCGGAAAUGUCCAGGAAGUCACUGAAGUCCAGAAAUUCAUUGUCUUUCUUUUAUUUUCAUCAAUUAUACUUUCUAAGAUGUAUGCAAAAUCUUUGAUGAUGUCCAUUUUAUUCAUUCUACAUCAAUUUUUAUUCCAAAGCAAGGCAUUUUUUCCUAUUAAAAAGCUAUACACUGAAAGAUUUUCCUUGAUCUGCCUUAGUAUAAAAUAGAGAUAGUACAGAAUACCCUUAUUUUAUACUGAAGCUAAUGCAUGCAAAUCAGACUCCAAAUCAGAUUCUGUACU
Long non-coding RNA from Homo sapiens (human), 845 nucleotides. RefSeq lists it as uncharacterized. The transcript is spliced from 3 exons. The record is from RefSeq and is a predicted model, not a curated record. NCBI's taxonomy places the organism in Eukaryota, Metazoa, Chordata, Mammalia, Primates, Hominidae.